Molecule: ribosomal RNA, 461 nt
Filed under: uncultured archaeon
Lineage: Archaea
Description: bacterial SSU rRNA
Rfam family: Archaeal small subunit ribosomal RNA
Source: RNAcentral
CCACAAGGGGUGAAGCCUGCGGUUCAAUUGGAGUCAACGCCAGGAAACUUACCAGGAGAGACAGCAGAUUGAGGGUCAGGCUGAAGACCUUACCUGACGAGCUGAGAGGAGGUGCAUGGCCGUCGCCAGCUCGUGCCGUGAGGCGUCCUGUUAAGUCAGGCAACGAGCGAGACCCCUAUCCGUAAUUGCUAACUGCUCAGAGAUGGGUAGAGGCUAGUUACAGAGACUGCCGCUGCUAAAGCGGAGGAAGGAAGGGGCCACGGCAGGUCAGUAUGCCCCGGAACUCCUGGGCCACACGCGGGCUGCAAUGGUAGGGACAAUAGGUUCCGACCUCGAAAGAGGAAGGCAAUCCCGAAACCCUACCCCAGUUGUGAUCGAGGAUUGAAACCCGUCCUCGUGAAUAUGGAAUCCCUAGUAACCGCGUGUCAUCACCGCGCGGUGAAUACGUCCCUGCUCCUUGU